This 98-nucleotide ribosomal RNA is filed under the name Peromyscus maniculatus bairdii (prairie deer mouse). Lineage: Eukaryota; Metazoa; Chordata; Mammalia; Rodentia; Cricetidae. The record is from RNAcentral.
GUCUAAGGCCAUACCACAAUGAACAUGCCAAAUCUUAUCUGAUCUUGGAAGUUAAGAACAGUCAGGCCUGUAUAAUAAUUACAUGGGAGGUUUUGAUC